GACGAGCGGCGGACGGGUGAGUAAUGUUCGGAAACUGCCUGAUGGAGGGGGAUAACUACUGGAAACGGUAGCUAAUACCGCAUAACGUCGCAAGACCAAAGAGGGGGACCUUCGGGCCUCUUGCCAUCAGAUGUGCCCAGAUGGGAUUAGCUAGUAGGUGGGGUAACGGUCACCUAGGCGACGAUCCCUAGCUGGUCUGAGAGGAUGACCAGCACACUGGAACUGAGAACACGGUCCAGACUCCUACGGGAGGCAGCAGUGGGGAAUAUUGCACAAUGGGCGCAAGCCUGAUGCAGGCAUGCCGCGUGUAUGAAGAAGGCCUUCGGGUUGUAAAGUACUUUCAGCGGGGAGGAAGGUGUUGUGGUUAAUAACCACAGCAAUUGACGUUACCCGCAGAAGAAGCACCGGCUAACUCCGUGCCAGCAGCCGCGGUAAUACGGUGGGUGCAAGCGUAAUCGGAAUUACUGGGCGGUAAAGCGCACGGCAGGCGGUCUGUCAAAGGUCGGAUCGUGAAAUCCCCCCGGGGGGGCUCCCAAAACCCGUUGGGGGAAAACUUUGGGCAUUUUCCCGAAAAAACCUUGGGGGCGCGGGGNCUAAAGG
This 600-nucleotide ribosomal RNA is filed under the name uncultured bacterium. RNAcentral's name for it is "bacterial SSU rRNA". It matches the Rfam family "Bacterial small subunit ribosomal RNA", at positions 90 to 655 of the family's 1533-position model. The record is from RNAcentral.